This 329-nucleotide long non-coding RNA is filed under the name Pan troglodytes (chimpanzee). RNAcentral describes it as "long non-coding RNA NONPTRT013892". Lineage: Eukaryota; Metazoa; Chordata; Mammalia; Primates; Hominidae. The record is from RNAcentral.
GCAGGAAAUGCGUGAUCUCCGGGAUGGUCACGGGGUCCCGCGCAGCCAAUCCCCUCGCAGCUAAGUUGCCAGGCAACGCCCUGGCGCCUGCGGGGCGGGCGGGGUCUGGGAGCCUGGAGGAAGCGAGAGCUUUGGCGCAGGCCGCCUGCGCGCUGUGCCAGGAAGGCGCUUGGAGAAAAUGUCCGGCCCCGCGACCUGGGACAGGAAGUGAUGGAGCACGGACUUAGUUUGCCUUUCAGUUCUUGUAUAAAUAGUUUUGAGGUUUAACCUGCGCCCCCGCGCUCUGCAUCAGCGCGGCCCUCGACCCCGUGCAGCUGGAAACACUGGGC